UGUGACCAUACCACUUGUUGCCUCGGCGGAUCAGCCCGCUCCCGGUAAAACGGGACGGCCCGCCAGAGGACCCCUAAACUCUGUUUCUAUAUGUAACUUCUGAGUAAAACCAUAAAUAAAUCAAAACUUUCAACAACGGAUCUCUUGGUUCUGGCAUCGAUGAAGAACGCAGCAAAAUGCGAUAAGUAAUGUGAAUUGCAGAAUUCAGUGAAUCAUCGAAUCUUUGAACGCACAUUGCGCCCGCCAGUAUUCUGGCGGGCAUGCCUGUUCGAGCGUCAUUUCAACCCUCAAGCACAGCUUGGUGUUGGGACUCGCGUUAAUUCGCGUUCCUCAAAUUGAUUGGCGGUCACGUCGAGCUUCCAUAGCGUAGUAGUAAAACCCUCGUUACUGGUAAUCGUCGCGGCCACGCCGUUAAACCCCAACUUCUGAAUGUUGACCUCGGAUCAGGUAGGAAUACCCGCUGAACUUAAGCAUAUC
RNAcentral lists this ribosomal RNA (477 nucleotides) under Fusarium oxysporum. RNAcentral describes it as "eukaryotic LSU rRNA". The stretch from base 125 to 278 matches the Rfam family "5.8S ribosomal RNA". Lineage: Eukaryota; Fungi; Ascomycota; Sordariomycetes; Hypocreales; Nectriaceae. The record is from RNAcentral.